Molecule: ribosomal RNA, 498 nt
Filed under: uncultured bacterium
Lineage: Bacteria
Description: SSU rRNA
Rfam family: Bacterial small subunit ribosomal RNA
Source: RNAcentral
AGAACGAACGCUGGCGGCGUGGAUAAGACAUGCAAGUCGAACGCGAUUUAUCAGGUUAGCAAUAACUUGGUAGAUUGAGUGGCGAAAGGGUGCGUAACACGUGGGAAUUUACCAAGAAGUGGGAAUAGCUCGACGAAAGUCGAAUUAAUACCGCAUGUGAUCGAAAGAUCAAAGUCGGGGACCGCAAGGCCUGACGCUUUUUGAGAAGCCCGCGGCCCAUCAGCUAGUUGGUGAGGUAAUGGCUCACCAAGGCUAUGACGGGUAGCUGGUCUGAGAGGACGACCAGCCACACUGGAACUGAGACACGGUCCAGACACCUACGGGUGGCAGCAGUCGAGAAUUUUUCACAAUGGACGAAAGUCUGAUGGAGCGACGCCGCGUGGAGGAUGAAGGUUCUUGGAUUGUAAACUCCUGUCACUGCAGAACAAGGGUACGUUCGUUAAUAGCAAACGUAUUUGAUGGUAUGCGGAGAGGAAGGGACGGCUAACGUCUGCGCCA